RNAcentral lists this long non-coding RNA (289 nucleotides) under Hordeum vulgare. RNAcentral describes it as "long non-coding RNA (HVUL_LNC003195)". The record is from RNAcentral. Lineage: Eukaryota; Viridiplantae; Streptophyta; Magnoliopsida; Poales; Poaceae.
UAGAGGAUAAUUGGUUCCAGCUUUCCUUUCGUUUUGUGGGAUGUUUUUUUUUUAGGAUUACCAAGCUUUAUUAAGAAUACCCACAUAUAGUGGGAUACAAGCAAGAUCAUGGGAUUGGCCAAGCCAAACGUGACGUCCCAGACCUAAAGACAAAGAGUACUUGGCUAGUUUAUGAGCUUCUACAUUCGUCCUGUGACUUUCGAAAGUAAAUAUACAUUGAAACAAACUGGAAUAUGAGUUGAUCUCACUAAUAAUUGCUCCGUUCCCGCCUCUGGAUAUGGUAUUUAUG